RNAcentral lists this ribosomal RNA (424 nucleotides) under uncultured bacterium. RNAcentral describes it as "bacterial SSU rRNA". It matches the Rfam family "Bacterial small subunit ribosomal RNA", at positions 356 to 772 of the family's 1533-position model. The record is from RNAcentral.
CGAGAAUAAUUCACAAUGGGGGAAACCCUGAUGGUGCAACGCCGCGUGGAGGAUGAAGGUCUUCGGAUUGUAAACUCCUGUUAUCUGGGAGUAAGACCUGGGCGUGAAUAGCGCACAGGGUUGAUAGUACCAGAAGAGGAAGGGACGGCUAACUUCGUGCCAGCAGCCGCGGUAAUACGAAGGGGGCUAGCGUUGUUCGGAAUUACUGGGCGUAAAGCGCGCGCAGGCGGUUCUUCAAGUCAGAGGUGAAAGCCCAGAGCUCAACUCUGGAAUGGCCUUUGAGACUAGAGAACUAGGGUACGGGAGAGGUGAGUGGAAUUCCGAGUGUAGAGGUGAAAUUCGUAGAUAUUCGGAAGAACACCAGUGGCGAAGGCGGCUCACUGGCCCGUUACCGACGCUCAGGCGCGACAGCGUGGGGAGCAAA